GACGGAGGGGGCUAGCGUUGUUCGGAAUUACUGGGCGUAAAGAGGGCGUAGGUGGUUUAGUAAGUUGGAAGUGAAAGCCCGGGGCUUAACCUCGGAAUAGCUUUCAAAACUACUAAUCUAGAGUAUAGUAGGGGAUGAUGGAAUUCCUAGUGUAUAGGUGAAAUUCUUAGAUAUUAGGAGGAACACCGGUGGCGAAGGCGGUCAUCUGGGCUACAACUGACACUGAUGCACGAAAGCGUGGGGAGCAAACAGG
RNAcentral lists this ribosomal RNA (253 nucleotides) under uncultured bacterium. RNAcentral describes it as "partial 16S ribosomal RNA". It matches the Rfam family "Bacterial small subunit ribosomal RNA", at positions 524 to 776 of the family's 1533-position model. The record is from RNAcentral.